Molecule: small RNA, 284 nt
Filed under: Aphanomyces astaci
Lineage: Eukaryota; Oomycota; Saprolegniomycetes; Saprolegniales; Verrucalvaceae
Description: 5' ureB small RNA
Rfam family: 5' ureB small RNA
Source: Rfam by way of RNAcentral
CUUCGUCGCACAGCUGCGGGCAGAUGAAGUGUACAUGCGUGUCGACGCCGCCGGCCGUGACAACCAGCCCCUCGCCGGCGAUCACCUCCGUGUUGACGCCCACAAUCAUGUUGUCGUGGACUCCGUCCAUGACGUCGGGGUUGCCAGCUUUGCCGAUCGCCCAGAUCACCCCGUGUUUGAUGCCAAUGUCUGCCUUGUAAACCCCCGUGUAGUCGAUGAUCACUGCGUUCGUGAUGACCGUGUCCAGCACUUGGAGAGCAUUUCGACCCGUUGCCUGCCCCAUG